This 86-nucleotide transfer RNA is filed under the name Bacillota bacterium. Its description in RNAcentral is "Firmicutes bacterium (anaerobic digester metagenome) tRNA-Leu". It matches the Rfam family "tRNA". From Rfam's summary of the family: Transfer RNA (tRNA) molecules are approximately 80 nucleotides in length. Their secondary structure includes four short double-helical elements and three loops (D, anti-codon, and T loops). Lineage: Bacteria; Bacillati; Bacillota. The record is from RNAcentral.
GCAGGCGUGGCGGAAUUGGCAGACGCGCUAGACUUAGGAUCUAGUGGGCAUCCCCCGUGAGAGUUCGACUCUCUCCGCCUGCACCA